RNAcentral lists this ribosomal RNA (486 nucleotides) under uncultured soil bacterium. Its description in RNAcentral is "bacterial SSU rRNA". It matches the Rfam family "Bacterial small subunit ribosomal RNA", at positions 26 to 518 of the family's 1533-position model. The record is from RNAcentral.
AGAUUGAACGCUAGCGGGAUGCUUUACACAUGCAAGUCGAACGGCAGCGCGGACUUCGGUCUGGCGGCGAGUGGCGAACGGGUGAGUAAUAUAUCGGAACGUGCCCAGUAGCGGGGGAUAACUACGCGAAAGCGUGGCUAAUACCGCAUACGCCCUACGGGGGAAAGGGGGGGAUCGCAAGACCUCUCACUAUUGGAGCGGCCGAUAUCAGAUUAGCUAGUUGGUGAGGUAAAGGCUCACCAAGGCGACGAUCUGUAGCUGGUUUGAGAGGACGACCAGCCACACUGGGACUGAGACACGGCCCAGACUCCUACGGGAGGCAGCAGUGGGAAUUUGGACAAUGGGGGAAACCUGAUCCAGCCAUCCCGCGUGUGCGAUGAAGGCCUUCGGUUGUAAGCACUUUAAGUGGUAGGAAGGCAGUUACCUAAUACGUAUCUGUUUGACGUUACGACAGAAUAAGCACGCUAACUCUGUGCCAGCAGCCGC